UCGGUUAUCUGUACGCUCAACGUACAGGCUGCCGGGAAUACUGCAAAGCUAGGGAGUGGGAGAGGUAGACGGUACUCGGUAGGAAGGGGUAAAAUCCUUUGAUCUAUUGAUGACCACCUGUGGCGAAGGCGGUCUACCAGAACACGUCCGACGGUGAGGGAUGAAAGCUGGGGGGGCAAACCGGAUUAGAUACCCGGGUAGUCCAAGCUGUAAACCAUGCAAACUCAGUGAUGCAUUGGCUUGUGGCCAAUGCAGUGCUGCAGGGAAGCCGUUAAGUUUGCCGCCUGGGAAGUACGUACGCAAGUAUGAAACUUAAAGGAAUUGGCGGGGGAGCACCACAAGGGGUGAAGCCUGCGGUUCAAUUGGAGUCAACGCCAGAAAUCUUACCCGGAGAGACAGCAGAAUGAAGGUCAAGCUGAAGACUUUACCAGACAAGCUGAGAGGUGGUGCAUGGCCGUCGCCAGCUCGUGCCGUGAGAUGUCCUGUUAAGUCAGGUAACGAGCGAGAUCCCUGCCUCUAGUUGCCACCAUUACUCUCAGGAGUAGUGGGGCGAAUUAGCGGGACCGCCGAGUUUAAUGGCGGAGGAANGAANGGGCCACGGCAGGUCAGUAUACCCCGAAACUCUGGGGCCACACGCGGGCUGCAAUGGUAACGACUAUUGGUUUCGAAUCCCAAAGGAUGAGGUAAUCCUCAAACGUUACCACAGUUAUGACUGAAGGCUGCAACUCGCCCUCACGAAUAUGGAAUCCCUAGUAACUGCGUGUCAUUAUCGCGCGGUGAAUACGUCCCUGCUCCUU
This 797-nucleotide ribosomal RNA is filed under the name uncultured archaeon. Its description in RNAcentral is "bacterial SSU rRNA". It matches the Rfam family "Archaeal small subunit ribosomal RNA", at positions 541 to 1338 of the family's 1478-position model. The record is from RNAcentral.